This 274-nucleotide ribosomal RNA is filed under the name uncultured bacterium. Its description in RNAcentral is "partial 16S ribosomal RNA". It matches the Rfam family "Bacterial small subunit ribosomal RNA", at positions 523 to 796 of the family's 1533-position model. The record is from RNAcentral.
AUACGGAGGGUGCGAGCGUUAAUCGGAAUUACUGGGCGUAAAGCGUGCGUAGGCGGUUUGCUAAGUCAGAUGUGAAAGCCCCGGGCUUAACCUGGGAACUGCAUUUGAUACUGGCAGACUAGAGUAUGAUAGAGGGGGGUAGAAUUCUUGGUGUAGCGGUGAAAUGCGUAGAUAUCAGGAGGAAUACCAGUGGCGAAGGCGGCCCCCUGGAUCAAUACUGACGCUGAGGUACGAAAGCGUGGGGAGCGAACAGGAUUAGAAACCCUAGUAGUCC